AUGGAUCACAACCCAGAAUUGCUCUGCUGGAACAUGUGGGGGCUUAAUAACCCUGCAAAAAGAAAGGCGAUUAGGGAAUUCGUGGAGGUGGUGAAAGUUAAUCUGGUGUGCUGUCAAGAGACCAAACUCUCUGUAAUUGACCAAUAUGAUGUUAUGCAAUGCGUAGGGCCAUCUUUUGAUGGUUUCUAUUACUUGCCGGCGUUAGAGACUCGGGGUGGCAUUUUAUUGGCUUGGGACUCUACGGUCUUGGACAUGGAUAGCUGCUACGUCUUGAGCUUGCAUUGGUUUUCCUCGAAGAGGAAAGGGUGA
Molecule: ribosomal RNA, 309 nt
Filed under: Triticum aestivum (bread wheat)
Lineage: Eukaryota; Viridiplantae; Streptophyta; Magnoliopsida; Poales; Poaceae
Description: partial small subunit ribosomal RNA
Source: RNAcentral